UUCCGGUUGAUCCUGCCAGAGGCCACCGCUAUUGGAUUUCGAUUAAACCAUGCGAGUCGAGAGGGUUCGGCCCUCGGCGGACCGCUCAGUAACACGCGGAUAACCUGCCCUUGGGUGGGGGAUAAGCUCGGGAAACUGAGUACAAUACCCCAUAGGCCAUCUAUGCUGGAACGCUUGAUGGUCGAAAGCUCCGGCGCCCAAGGAUGGAUCUGCGGCCUAUCAGGUUGUAGUUGGUGUAACGGACCAACUAGCCUACGACGGGUACGGGCCUUGAGAGAGGUAGCCCGGAGAUGGAUUCUGAGACAUGAAUCCAGGCCCUACGGGGCGCAGCAGGUGCGAAAACUUCGCAAUGUGGGAAACCACGACGAGGGGAAUCCAAGUGCUUGCACAAUGUGUAGGCUGUUUCCAUGCCUAAAAAGCAUGGAGAGUAAGGGCUGGGUAAGACGGGUGCCAGCCGCCGCGGUAAUACCCGCAGCCCGAGUGGUGGUCGUUAUUAUUGGGCCUAAAACGUCCGUAGCCGGCCCGGUAAAUUCGUGGGGAAAUCGGUCAGCUUAACUGACCGAAGUCCGCGGAGACUGCCGGGCUUGGGACUGGGUGAGGUCAGAGGUACUUCAGGGGUAGGGGUAAAAUCCUGUAAUCCUUGAAGGACCACCAGUGGCGAAGGCGUCUGACUAGAACGGAUCCGACGGUAAGGGACGAAGCCCUGGGGCACAAACGGGAUUAGAUACCCCGGUAGUCCAGGGUGUAAACGCUGUGGGCUUGGUGUUGGGAGUCCCACGAGGGCG
RNAcentral lists this ribosomal RNA (785 nucleotides) under uncultured archaeon. RNAcentral describes it as "bacterial SSU rRNA". It matches the Rfam family "Archaeal small subunit ribosomal RNA", at positions 1 to 793 of the family's 1478-position model. The record is from RNAcentral.